Long non-coding RNA from Spinacia oleracea (spinach), 358 nucleotides. RefSeq lists it as uncharacterized. NCBI's taxonomy places the organism in Eukaryota, Viridiplantae, Streptophyta, Magnoliopsida, Caryophyllales, Amaranthaceae. The transcript has 3 exons. The record is from RefSeq and is a predicted model, not a curated record.
GCUAUAAAUACAUUGUUAUACUCAAAAACUGCCCGUGCGUAAUAAAGGAUACCAUCAAAACCCUUAUUCCUUCCUCAAUUGUUCCUCUGCCGUCAUCACCCUUUCACAAUUACCUCCACCUCCUUCAAUCACCUCUGACGAGGAUUACUAGGUGACUCUUUCGGAAAUCUCGUACCUUGAGAAUUACGCGCGUGUUUAAGGUUGGUAAAGGUACUUGGCUACGAGUGAGGAGACGCUUAGAAUAACCACCUAGUCAAGAGACAAUUUCUUUUCCAGUUUAAGUUGGAUUUUGUUAUUUAUUUUAUGGGGAUUAAUUGGUUGUAAUAUUUUAUUGACCACCUUUAGACCACUUAGUUAA